UGACCUUAGUAACGGCGAGUGAAGCGGCAACAGCUCAAAUUUGAAAUCUGGCCUUCGGGUCCGAGUUGUAAUUUGCAGAGGAUGCUUUUGGCGCGGCGCCUUCCGAGUUCCUUGGAACAGGACGCCUUAGAGGGUGAGAGCCCCGUACGGUUGGACGCUAAGCCUCUGUAUAGCUCCUUCGACGAGUCGAGUAGUUUGGGAAUGCUGCUCUAAAUGGGAGGUAAAUUUCUCCUAAAGCUAAAUACCGGCCAGAGACCGAUAGCGCACAAGUAGAGUGAUCGAAAGAUGAAAAGUACUUUGAAAAGAGGGUUAAAUAGCACGUGAAAUUGUUGAAAGGGAAGCGUUUGUGACCAGACCUCUGCUGGGCGGAUCAUCCGGUGUUCCUCACCGGUGCACUUCGCCCAGCUCAGGCCAGCAUCGGUUCCCGCAGGGGGAUAAAGACCGUGGGAACGUAGCUCUCUUCGGGGAGUGUUAUAGCCCUAGGUGUAAUACCCUUGCGGGGACCGAGGUUCGCGCUCCGGCAAGGAUGCUGGCGUAAUGGUCAUCAACGACCCGUCUUGAAACACGGACCAAGGAGUCGAACAUUUAUGCGAGUGUUUGGGUGUUAAACCCUCACGCGUAAUGAAAGUGAACGGAGGUGAGAGCCCCUCCAAGGGCGCAUCAUCGACCGAUCCUGAUGUCUUCGGAUGGAUUUGAGUAAGAGCAUAGCUGUUCGGACCCGAAAGAUGGUGAACUAUGCGUGGAUAGGGUGAAGCCAGAGGAAACUCUGGUGGAGGCUCGCAGCGGUUCUGACGUGCAAAUCGAUCGUCAAAUCUGCGCAUGGGGGCGAAAG
This 832-nucleotide ribosomal RNA is filed under the name Cryptosphaeria bathurstensis. RNAcentral describes it as "Halocryptosphaeria bathurstensis partial large subunit ribosomal RNA". It matches the Rfam family "Eukaryotic large subunit ribosomal RNA", at positions 73 to 929 of the family's 3401-position model. The record is from RNAcentral. Lineage: Eukaryota; Fungi; Ascomycota; Sordariomycetes; Xylariales; Diatrypaceae.